UUUUGAUCAUGAUUCUUUUGGCCCGUUUGGUUUACUUCUGAAAAAGUGAUUUUUAUAGAAUUGAUUUUGGUUUGAAAAAAUGAUUUCUGUUAAAAACUAUAGAGCAUUUAGUUGAGUCUAAUAGAAAAGUGAUUUUAGAAAGCUGUUUGGCAAAUAUUUUUGCUGAAGUAAUUUUGUAAUGCUUUUUAACUAAUCCAAUGGUUAGAAAUGAUCAAUGGGGUUGAUCUAAUGGCUAUCGGAAGCAUAAAGUAGUUGGUGCUUCCGAUUUUUUAGCCCUUAAAUCAACCCCAUUGAUCAUUUCUAACCAUUGGAUUAAUAUUAUUAACCAAUGGGGACCACUCAAUCCUAGAGUGACCACUUAACCCUAAGGGGACCGCUAUCACCCUAACCUAAGAGCUAAAAAAUCGAAAGCACCAACUACUUUAUACUUCCGAUAGCUUAGUAGCUCUACACUAUAUAUAUAUAUAUAUAUAUAGCAGGACUGCUGUGCUCUCAGGAGCAUGGAGGUCUCCGUGCUCCUGAGCCAUUUUUGAUGAUAGAAUUUUCGAAUCGACGAUCGGCUCCGUUAGACUUGAUCUAGGAUAUUUGAAGUUUUUAGAAAAUAAUUUUUGCCAUUUUUUAAUAUCAUUUAUCUAGUGAUCGAAAAGAUUCAAAAUCAAUAAUUUUUAAUGGUUGAUAUUUGCCGUUUUCAAGUUUAACGGUGUAGAAGUAUUCAAAUCAGAUGAAAUUUUGAUACAAAAUUCUUUAUACUAUNUAU
RNAcentral lists this long non-coding RNA (757 nucleotides) under Ananas comosus (pineapple). Its description in RNAcentral is "long non-coding RNA (ACOM_LNC016751)". Lineage: Eukaryota; Viridiplantae; Streptophyta; Magnoliopsida; Poales; Bromeliaceae. The record is from RNAcentral.